UGAGGAAUAUUGGGCAAUGGACGCAAGUCUGACCCAGCCAUGCCGCGUGCAGGAUGACGGCCCUACGGGUUGUAAACUGCUUUUAUACGGGAAAAAACUUUUGGUUUCGCACCAAAAUUGAUGGUACCGUAAGAAUAAGGAUCGGCUAACUCCGUGCCAGCAGCCGCGGUAAUACGGAGGAUCCAAGCGUUAUCCGGAUUUAUUGGGUUUAAAGGGUGCGCAGGCGGAAUAAUAAGUCAGUGGUGAAAUCCUACGGCUCAACUGUAGAACUGCCAUUGAUACUGUUAUUCUUGAGUUUAGUUGAAGUGGGCGGAAUGUGUCAUGUAGCGGUGAAAUGCUUAGAUAUGACACAGAACACCGAUCGCGAAGGCAGCUCACUAAGCUAAAACUGACGCUCAUGCACGAAAGCGUGGGGAUCAAACA
RNAcentral lists this ribosomal RNA (423 nucleotides) under uncultured prokaryote. RNAcentral describes it as "bacterial SSU rRNA". It matches the Rfam family "Bacterial small subunit ribosomal RNA", at positions 355 to 774 of the family's 1533-position model. The record is from RNAcentral.